This is a small nucleolar RNA of Euleptes europaea (tarantolino), 126 nucleotides long. RefSeq annotates it as small nucleolar RNA SNORA3/SNORA45 family. The transcript has a single exon. The record is from RefSeq and is a predicted model, not a curated record. NCBI's taxonomy places the organism in Eukaryota, Metazoa, Chordata, Lepidosauria, Squamata, Sphaerodactylidae.
CCCGAGACUAGAGUCACAUCUAGAUAUGGACUGUUAUCAUGAUGUGCUAUUGUACUCGGAGAAUAAUAACUGACUUAACUGACUGAGGUGUUAAGUAGCACAUCAGUUACCAAGUUAGUGACAGAU